This 45-nucleotide non-coding RNA is filed under the name Schistosoma curassoni. Lineage: Eukaryota; Metazoa; Platyhelminthes; Trematoda; Strigeidida; Schistosomatidae. The record is from RNAcentral.
AUUCAGUUGAUGAAUCUCAAAUAGGACGAAACGCGCGUCCUGGAU